UGGGGAAUAUUGGACAAUGGGCGCAAGCCUGAUCCAGCCAUGCCGCGUGAGUGAUGAAGGCCCUAGGGUUGUAAAGCUCUUUCACCGGUGAAGAUAAUGACGGUAACCGGAGAAGAAGCCCCGGCUAACUUCGUGCCAGCAGCCGCGGUAAUACGAAGGGGGCUAGCGUUGUUCGGAUUUACUGGGCGUAAAGCGCACGUAGGCGGACUUUUAAGUCAGGGGUGAAAUCCCGGGGCUCAACCCCGGAACUGCCUUUGAUACUGGAAGUCUUGAGUAUGGUAGAGGUGAGUGGAAUUCCGAGUGUAGAGGUGAAAUUCGUAGAUAUUCGGAGGAACACCAGUGGCGAAGGCGGCUCACUGGACCAUUACUGACGCUGAGGUGCGAAAGCGUGGGCAGCAAACAGG
RNAcentral lists this ribosomal RNA (404 nucleotides) under Actinomycetes bacterium. Its description in RNAcentral is "Actinobacteria bacterium partial 16S ribosomal RNA". It matches the Rfam family "Bacterial small subunit ribosomal RNA", at positions 355 to 776 of the family's 1533-position model. The record is from RNAcentral. Lineage: Bacteria; Bacillati; Actinomycetota; Actinomycetes.